AAUAGAUACCCCGGUAGUCCACGCCGUAAACGAUGAAUACUAGGUGUAGGGGUUGUCAUGACCUCUGUGCCGCCGCAAACGCAUUAAGUAUUCCGCCUGGGGAGUACGGUCGCAAGAUUAAAACUCAAAGGAAUUGACGGGGGCCCGCACAAGCAGCGGAGCAUGUGGUUUAAUUCGAAGCAACGCGAAGAACCUUACCUAGACUUGACAUCUCCUGAAUUACUCUUAAUCGAGGAAGUCCCUUCGGGGACAGGAAGACAGGUGGUGCAUGGUUGUCGUCAGCUCGUGUCGUGAGAUGUUGGGUUAAGUCCCGCAACGAGCGCAACCCUUAUUGUUAGUUGCUACCAUUAAGUUGAGCACUCUAGCAAGACUGCCCGGGUUAACCGGGAGGAAGGUGGGGAUGACGUCAAAUCAUCAUGCCCCUUAUGUCUAGGGCUACACACGUGCUACAAUGGCAAGUCAAAAGNUGCAAUACCGCAAGGUGGAGCCAAACUUAAAACUUGUCUCAGUUCGGAUUGUAGGCUGAAACUCGCCUACA
RNAcentral lists this ribosomal RNA (538 nucleotides) under uncultured bacterium. Its description in RNAcentral is "bacterial SSU rRNA". It matches the Rfam family "Bacterial small subunit ribosomal RNA", at positions 777 to 1320 of the family's 1533-position model. The record is from RNAcentral.